UCUCAGUGUAAUGCACGCCAAAGCACAUACAGCAAAAUGCGAGGUGAGAUGGGGUGGCAGAAAUCAGGAUGGAGCAGGGAACACAGUUGGAGAGGAAGUUGAACAAGUGAACAGCUUUCUCUCCAGGGCAGCUCUUAUCACAAAAUACAUGACAAAAGCAGGGAGAGAAAAUAUGCUGACGUAACAGGCCAUGGGUUGGAACAGAAAAAAAGCCUCCACAAAGCUUUGGCCCAGAGAUACGUCACAAUCUCAGAGAGGGCAAAACUGGAAGCUGCCAGCCUCAGUGACUUUCAGCAAAAGCAAAACCUCACUCAGCAAACAAUAGAGCAGUGGGUGUUUGAUGUCCAGCAAUGGGCAGUCACAGAUCGAGUCUACACACAAGGGUGUACAGAGGACCUCAGGGCAGAAAUAGAGACCAUCACGGUAACCCUCCUACGCAAGAAGCAGGACCUCUAUCGUCAGCAUGAUAGCAACCAGACAAGACACAGCAAGCGAAGAAAACUUAGAGAUUUAAAAAAAAAAACUAAGAGAAAAGGUCUUGCAGUACAACGCAUCUGAAGAAGAUGAAAUUGAUGAGGACUUGGCCUGCAAUUUGACGGAGGGCUACAUCCUACCAUGGGAGAGAAGUGAAGAUGGCCACUCAUUCAGAUUGAAAAGGUCACUCUUUGACCGAAUUAUGCUACUUAAACGGUAUGAGGAGGAGCAGAGCAUCCUCAUCAAAGAAAUGACACAGCACAUCAUGUCAUUAAGGAAGGAGAUAAAGGGAGUGGAGAAACUCAAAGACAACAUUGGGA
Gadus morhua (Atlantic cod) is the source of this 794-nucleotide long non-coding RNA. RefSeq lists it as uncharacterized. Lineage: Eukaryota; Metazoa; Chordata; Actinopteri; Gadiformes; Gadidae. The record is from RefSeq and is a predicted model, not a curated record. The transcript has 8 exons.